Long non-coding RNA from Alosa sapidissima (American shad), 156 nucleotides. RefSeq lists it as uncharacterized. The record is from RefSeq and is a predicted model, not a curated record. NCBI's taxonomy places the organism in Eukaryota, Metazoa, Chordata, Actinopteri, Clupeiformes, Clupeidae. The transcript has 3 exons.
CGAGAGAGAGAGUUUCAGUAAACAUGUUCAAGGAGUUCAGAUAGAGCCUGUAUCAGGACCCCAUUUAGUUCAAUGUGUUAUAUGUACUAUUUUUGGUAGCCUACUGUACUUAAAUGGCCAGUAUUUUCUUUAUUCAUUGAAGCCUCUAUGUUUACA